GACGAACGCUGGCGGCGUGCUUAACACAUGCAAGUCGAACGGAAAGGCCCUUCGGGGUACUCGAGUGGCGAACGGGUGAGUAACACGUGGGUGAUCCGCCCUGCACUUUGGGAUAAGCCUGGGAAACUGGGUCUAAUACCGAAUAGGACCACGCACUUCAUGGUGUGUGGUGGAAAGCUUUUGCGGUGUGGGAUGGGCCCGCGGCCUAUCAGCUUGUUGGUGGGGUAAUGGCCUACCAAGGCGACGACGGGUAGCCGGCCUGAGAGGGUGACCGGCCACACUGGGACUGAGAUACGGCCCAGACUCCUACGGGAGGCAGCAGUGGGGAAUAUUGCACAAUGGGCGCAAGCCUGAUGCAGCGACGCCGCGUGAGGGAUGACGGCCUUCGGGUUGUAAACCUCUUUCACCAGGGACGAAGCGUAAGUGACGGUACCUGGAGAAGAAGCACCGGCCAACUACGUG
RNAcentral lists this ribosomal RNA (462 nucleotides) under uncultured bacterium. RNAcentral describes it as "partial 16S ribosomal RNA". It matches the Rfam family "Bacterial small subunit ribosomal RNA", at positions 28 to 507 of the family's 1533-position model. The record is from RNAcentral.